GAUCCUGGCUCAGGAUGAACGCUAUCUACAGGCUUAACACAUGCAAGUCGAGGGGAAACGACAUCGAAAGCUUGCUUUUGAUGGGCGUCGACCGGCGCACGGGUGAGUAACGCGUAUCCAACCUGCCUACCACUUGGGGAUAACCUUGCGAAAGUAAGACUAAUACCCAAUGACAUCCCACGAAGACAUCUGAAUGGGAUUAAAGGUAUUCCGGUAGACGAUGGGGAUGCGUUCCAUUAGAUAGUAGGG
Molecule: ribosomal RNA, 249 nt
Filed under: uncultured bacterium
Lineage: Bacteria
Description: partial 16S ribosomal RNA
Rfam family: Bacterial small subunit ribosomal RNA
Source: RNAcentral